CAGUAGCCACGGUAAUACCAGCAGCCCAAGUGGUGGUCGCGAUUAUUGGGCCUAAAGCGCUCGUAGCCGGGCCGGUAAGUCCCUUGUGAAAUCGGACGGCCUAACCGUUCGGCGUGCAAGGGAUACUGUCGGUCUUGAGGCCGGGAGACGUCCGAGGUACUCCGGGGGUAGCGGUGAAAUGUUCUAAUCCUCGGGGGACCACCGGUGGCGAAGGCGUUCGACGAGAACGGGCCUGACGGUGAGGGGCGAAGGCUAGGGGAGCAAACGGGAUUAGAUACCCGCGUAGUCCCUGUCUCUUAUA
This 301-nucleotide ribosomal RNA is filed under the name uncultured bacterium. RNAcentral's name for it is "partial 16S ribosomal RNA". It matches the Rfam family "Archaeal small subunit ribosomal RNA", at positions 459 to 759 of the family's 1478-position model. The record is from RNAcentral.